UUUAACCUUUCCAUAAUAGAUUUCACUAGUGAAAAUAUGCCCAGUAUAAAACAGUAACAGUCCAGACAUUUUUGUUUACAAAUGUGUUUACAAAGUCUGUAGCUUGCAGUUUAUUUUUAAACUACUUAACCAUAACAGGCCAAAUGUCUUUUUCUUUUACUUUCCAGCUUUCAUAGCCUCCUAUCAGAAGAACUGAUAGUUUUAACAAAGUAUGCCUUUUCUAUCUGUUACAGCUAAGUCUAUCUUCAUUGGGUAUCAGCAAAACACAGACAACUCACUGUUCAGACAAGUAAGUAGGCCAACCAUAGAGAGCGCUGAACACAUUCUCCUUGAUCCAGAGACCCAGCAGAUUUUGGUCUACCUGGGCCCAUGUUUUCAUCUAUUUUGCAACAAGCAAAGAUGGGUGUCUAGAAGCAUCUCAAAGCAGAGUUCCAAAACUAAAUAAGAUAGGGGCAUGUCUACACAAGGAAAUUAUUUUGCAAUCCCCUUCUGGCAGAAGGAGACCAGUUCAGAUUGGUGGGACCACAUCAUCCUGCAGUGAUGGGACGACCAGCAGUGGCUGCAGAACUUCCGCAUGCAGAAGUCCACCUUCCUUGACCUGUACAAGUGGCUCACCCCUUCCCUCAGGUGACAGGACACCUGCAUGCUCCCUGCCAUCCCCAUGAAUUAACGCCUUGCCAAUACACUCUAGAAGUUCUCCAUGCCAGAAAGCUACCACUCUGUCAGGAACCAGUUUGAUGUGGGGAAAUCCACAGUAGGAGCCAUGUUCAUACAAGUAGCGAAGGCCAACAGCAGGAAGGCCAUAGACAGCACAGGGACAAUCGUCUUGAAGAACCUCUGUUAAUGAACAGGGUGAGUAACCUCCUCUUCUUCUUCAAGGACUUUCCCUGUGGGUGCUCCACUUUAGGUGACUAUAGAAUAGUACCCAUAAUGGUAAGGCAGGUGCUUCAGCUAAAUGCUGUGUUGGACCUUGGUCAGGACCGUAUGUCUAAAUUUAGUGCCCUAUUUUAGGUAAUUAUCGAGCACAUAAUCUCUGGCGAAGGUGUACGUGGAAGACCAAGUUACAGCUCUGCAUAUGUCUGAGAGGAAUGUUACUAAAGUAAGCUGUACAGGUUUCCAUGGCCCUCAUGGAGUGUGCCCGCAACAGAAGUGAAGGCUCCUGGUUAAAACUGGUGUAAUCCAGGCAGAUGCAGUCUCAAAUCCAUCUGGAUAGUCUCUGGGUAGAGAUUGCAUGCCCAGGGAUCUUUCAGCAGUGGAGAUGAAAAGUCUGUUUCUAUCCUUUCCAAAUAGAAGGCAAUUGCUCAACGCACAUCAAGCGUGUGCCAUUUAGCUUCUUCAGCGGUGACAUGAGUGGAAAGAAGACUAGUGGAAAGAAGACAGGUAACACCACAAGGAAAUAAAUAAGAAAAGAGCCACUGAGGAACCAUGCCCAGGGAUCUGGAGGGAUGGAUUCCAGAUUUGACCAUCUCUACAUACCUGCUCCACAUGUCCAUGAGACCUUCAUGGCGUCUCCCAAUAGUUCCCCAUCUUCUAGCAGAUGGUCUACAAGAAUUGAGGAGGAUUUCCUGUACCGGUGCUGAGCAUGUUGUUUCAAGUGGCAUUAAGCAGCAAUGAGCCAUAUCUGGAGCUGAAGCUUCAGAACACUGGGGUAACAAAGAUCUCCAUCAUUCUGAGUGAGGAGCCAGGAAACCAAAGGGAAGCGCCAAGGGGACACAAAUGCCAUCUGGAGCAGGUGAUGAACAGGUCCAUCUGUGGAGCCCCCAGAGAUGGAAGAUGCCCUGAAGAACAUCUGACUGAAUCUACCACUCGUGAUCGUGUGGGAAAUGUCUUCUGACCACAUCUGCCAUUACAUUGCUCAUGCCAGGGAAGAUUAAGUAGGUUCUGAGAAGAGGAGAGCUCUGUCUGAGGCUGAGGACAGUUGAGAGGAACUGGCGGGAGCCGGGCCACAUGCGACGAUCAAAGGGCGUGACCAGUGAGAGGUGCUAAUCGCGCAUGCACAGCCCGGCUGAUUACAGCUAUUGAAAGUCUCCAAUCUGCGGCGCCAGAAUGAGGCCAACACCUACAGUGAAGCACCCAGGGGGAGCACUCGAAGAAGAAUAAUGCUUCUUUCAAAACUGUUAUUUUGAAAUAGUGUUAGUGUGCUCAGCUACUGCUAUUUUGAAGGAAUGCCAACAUGUACAGUGAAAUGGCCACCAGCCUGGUGGAAAAAGGACACAUACGGACCCUUAACCAGGUCUGCAUGAAAAUAAAAGAACUCCGGCAGACCUACACUAAGGCCAGAGAGAAAAAUUCUUGCUCAGUCUGGGGAGUCAUCGCAGUGCCAGAUCUGGUGUGUGUGAGACACGGAAGAAAGGUGAGAAGUCCCAUCCUCCCCUCCCAUCCACAGGCUCCUGGUCUGGCCAUCAUAUUCCCAUGACUGUUUGUCCGCUGGCUGUGGAGGUAGUGAUGCUCUCCUGGAAUGUCGGUGCCCCUUCAGGAAAGUUCCCACUGUGUAAACAACAGAUUGCCUUGCUUGAAGCACAUCGCCAUUGUGUGAACUGAGACCUUUGGUAUCGGUUCAGAGAUUAGGGCUAGGCUUCAUGCACAGUGUCUCCUGGGAUGACUGCCCUUGUUACUUUUCUUCACAGCUGAACCAGCAGCGAACGUGGCCUUUCCACCAUAACUGGGAGCAGUGGAAGGUCAUGUGGGAGCAGCUUUCAUGCUAGCAUGAAGCCAUGUGCUCCUCCAUAACAUCUGUCCUGGAAUGCAUGGCUACAUGCAUGGAGCAGGGCACCAGCCACCUCCCCACACCUGCCCCUCAAUUCCCUGCCCAACUGCUCACCCCACCCCUCCAGCUCCCUGCUCCCACCCCGGCUCCUCCUCAUGGCCCUCACAGGGGCUGCCAGGGCCCCCGAACAUGUGGCAGUGGGACUUCACAGGCAACUAAAGCCUCCCAAGGUAUCCAAGGCAGGCACCACUCAUAGCCCCAUCCCUGAGACCUGCUCCUCCCCCUUACUUCCCCUCCCCAAUUCCAGGUUCUUUCCUCAGUCGCUCCCCUGUUGUAUAUUCCCCAAAUAAAAAAAUCAGAGUUGUCUGUUCAAACAAACAGUCUUUAUUGUUUGCUCUGCAGGGGAGGGGAGAAGUUAAGAAGGGAAGGCAGGGGAAAGGAGAAGUAGGGGAGGAAAUGCACACAAGGGCAAUGCAGGGUCUCCUUGUGGAGAGGCCCAGGGAAGAGUCUCACAAGUGGCCUUGGCUGAAACUCUACCUCAAAUCCUCCUGGAUGAGCACAGCCCCGACGUGCUCUCCAGAUGGCACUGGUGUUCAGCUGCUCGUAUGCCAUGACCAGCCGCUCAGCCUUUGCCCCAACCCUGGCAGGAAAGUUUGCCCCUUGCUUUCACAUAUGCUGUGGAGCACACAGCAGUCUGCCACCAAGGCCGCAUUUGUUAGAAUCAAAUCCAUUGGUUCUAACUAACAUUACUCCUCAUUUUAGUAACAUUAGUUCGAACCAAGGGGUUUGAUUUGAAUUAACAUGACCUGGAACGCACUUUCAAAUCAGCUGGGUUCCGAAACAGCGUGCGGCC
This is a non-coding RNA of Pelodiscus sinensis (Chinese soft-shelled turtle), 3560 nucleotides long. The record is from RefSeq and is a predicted model, not a curated record. Lineage: Eukaryota; Metazoa; Chordata; Testudines; Trionychidae.